Molecule: long non-coding RNA, 71 nt
Organism: Aricia agestis (brown argus)
Lineage: Eukaryota; Metazoa; Arthropoda; Insecta; Lepidoptera; Lycaenidae
Exons: 3
Source: RefSeq, a predicted model, not a curated record
AGAAUAUAUUAUAUUAUAUUGUCGAUGGUGAAAACUUUGCAUUACUGUCGUUUGUCAAAGUACAAGGUAGA